CACGCAAAGAUGCAAUGGCAAGAGAGCAGAAAUUAAAACAAGGUCAAUCAAAAAGACAUUUGAUUGAUAGAAUACAAGACAGUAUAAAACUUUGUGAAUAAAAUUGAGUGCGGGAUAGUGGCGGACGGGUGAGUAACGCGUGAAUAAUCUGCCCCAUACAGGGGGAUAGCCUCGGGAAACCGGGAUUAAAACCGCAUAACACUUUAUCACCGCAUGGUGAUGAAGUCAAAUCGAUUAAGAGGUAUGGGAUGAGUUCGCGUCUGAUUAGCUAGUUGGCGGGGUAAAGGCCCACCAAGGCGACGAUCAGUAGCCGGCCUGAGAGGGUGACCGGCCACACUGGAACUGAGACACGGUCCAGACUCCUACGGGAGGCAGCAGUGGGGAAUAUUGCACAAUGGGGGAAACCCUGAUGCAGCGACGCCGCGUGAGUGAAGAAGGUCUUCGGAUCGUAAAACUCUGUCCUUGGUGACGAAGGAAGUGACGGUAACCAAGGAGGAAGCCCCGGCUAACUACGUG
RNAcentral lists this ribosomal RNA (516 nucleotides) under uncultured bacterium. Its description in RNAcentral is "bacterial SSU rRNA". It matches the Rfam family "Bacterial small subunit ribosomal RNA", at positions 70 to 507 of the family's 1533-position model. The record is from RNAcentral.